CAGAGAAGGAGAGGAGCAGGUCGUCGUCUCUGCGGGCUCUGGUGAAGAACCUGCUGGUGCAGAUGGCGGCAGACAUGCGCACACGGCACGAGACCACCGGCUCAGCCAUGCUGCUCGAGGAGAUCGCGAGCCAGGAAAAAGGAUAAAGAACUGCCACUGAAGGUGGUGCAGAUGUCAGCGGCCCAGAGUGGAGCUGUGCAACGAUCACGCUCACACGUGCCUGCUCUCUAAAGCGCAACAGCUCACGGACCACAUCUCCAGGGGGCGCCACAGCGGAUCAUCCGUCUCCACAACCCC
Molecule: long non-coding RNA, 297 nt
Organism: Silurus meridionalis
Lineage: Eukaryota; Metazoa; Chordata; Actinopteri; Siluriformes; Siluridae
Exons: 3
Source: RefSeq, a predicted model, not a curated record